GUGCUCACUUCAGCAGCACAUAUGCUAAAAUUGGAAUGAUACAGGGAAGAUUAGCAUGGCCCCUGCACAAGGAUAACACGCAAAUUUGUGAAAUGUCCCAUAUUUUU
Small nuclear RNA from Callithrix jacchus (white-tufted-ear marmoset), 107 nucleotides. Lineage: Eukaryota; Metazoa; Chordata; Mammalia; Primates; Cebidae. The record is from Ensembl.